UUUAUUAAUGCCAAUGCUGUUUCUUAUGCUUGAUUUUCAGCUCUCCGGAAAACGGACCCAAGAUCAGUACUGUACAUAGGCAACUUCAACCCAAUGUAAUGCGGAGCGUGUUCCAGCUCGUCAACACAAUCAGCUACAGGGGAGUUUACUUUCUGCGUUGUUCGGCUUAUUUAAGAAUAUCAAAUUAAAUGAAUCGAAGAAACGCUUUUCAGGCAGUUUGAAUGUAUAUUGUUAUUCUGUGCAGAAUCGGUGUAUGUUGACCUACAACACAAAUGCGCAUCAUGACAAAGAAGGCAACUUGGAACAUACCUGAUCCUCCCAUGCGUAUCAUCCUCUUCCCCACUCCAAAUAAAGACCCUUCACACCUACCACCCUUCUAUUCAGACCACUCAGACCUACGGCUGACACCUUUAGUCUCUCUCUUUAUCUAUCCUCUUGAUACAGAUCUCUUGAUCCGCUGGCUGCAUUUUAAGCAAAACUGCUCCAGUUCCUUCAAGUUGGAUGGGUUCCGCUGGUGUACAUCAAUCUUUAACUUCUCUAGGGUAGGGAGCAGUAUUUUGACGUCCGGAUGAAAGGCGUGCCCGUAGUAAACUGCCUGCUACUCAGGCUCAGAAGCUGGAACCCUUGGGAUUGCAAACAGAGGAAGAUCUUCAAAGGUAAGUGAUUUAUUUCAUCGCUAUUUGUGAUUUUGUGAAGCCUGUGCUGGUUGAAAAAUAUGUUGAUGUGGGGCACCAUCCUCAGACAAUCGCAUGGUAUGCUUUCACUGUAAAGCCUAUUGUAAAUCGGACAACGCAGUUAGAUUAACAAGUAUUUAAGCUUUUAAAUAAUACGAGAUACUUGUAUGUUCAUGAAUGUUUAAUAUUACGAUUAUUUAUUUGAAUUGCGCUCCCUCCAAUUUCACCGGAUGUUGUCGACUGGUGUCCCGGUAGCCC
This 932-nucleotide long non-coding RNA is filed under the name Salmo salar (Atlantic salmon). Its description in RNAcentral is "lncRNA (ENSSSAG00000092481.1)". The record is from RNAcentral. Lineage: Eukaryota; Metazoa; Chordata; Actinopteri; Salmoniformes; Salmonidae.